This 375-nucleotide ribosomal RNA is filed under the name uncultured organism. RNAcentral's name for it is "partial 16S ribosomal RNA". It matches the Rfam family "Bacterial small subunit ribosomal RNA", at positions 527 to 896 of the family's 1533-position model. The record is from RNAcentral.
GUAGGUGGCAAGCGUUGUCCGGAAUUAUUGGGCGUAAAGCGCGCGCAGGCGGGGUCCUUUAAGUCUGAUGUGAAAGCCCACGGGCUCAACCGUGGAGGGUCAUUGGAAACUGGGGGACUUGAGUACAGAAGAGGAAAGCGGAAUUCCAAGUGUAGCGGUGAAAUGCGUAGAGAUUUGGAGGAACACCAGUGGCGAAGGCGGCUUUCUGGUCUGUAACUGACGCUGAGGCGCGAAAGCGUGGGGAGCAAACAGGAUUAGAUACCCUGGUAGUCCACGCCGUAAACGAUGAGCGCUAAGUGUUAGGGGGUUUCCGCCCCUUAGUGCUGCAGCUAACGCAUUAAGCACUCCGCCUGGGGAGUACGGCCGCAAAGGCUG